AAUUUAUUUAGAGCAUGAUGAACCCAGCCGUUAGCAGGAAGGCGGCACAACAACGUCAGCGGCGCACCUACAGAGUGAGAAGAGAUAUUUUCGCUGAGUACGACGAUGCUGAGUUACUGAAAAGAUUCAGAUUGGACCGUGCUGGUAUUGUUGCAGUGACUGAUAUAGUGAGAGACAAGCUGCAAAGUAAAACUGAAAGAAAUAGAGCCUUGACCCCUGAGAUGGUGGCCAUCACAUUACGAUAUUUAGCCACAGGAAAAAUGCAACAGUGCAGUUGUGAUGAUUUUGGAACAACGCAGCCCACUAUCAGCCGUGCAAUAUCACAGACAAUUGAUGCACUGGCUGACCCAGAAGUAAUCUGCCAGUUCGUGGCUUUCCCUCACACCCAGCGUGAAGUGCAGCAAAAACAGGCAGAGUUCAUGCAAGUAACUCAGUUUCCCGGUGUUGUGGGAGUGAUUGAUGGCACUCAUAUAAGAAUUGUGUCUCCUCAUGUCGAUGAACAUGUAUAUGUGAACAGGAAACGCUAUCACAGCAUAAAUGUGCAAGUAGUAUUUGAUGCUCACUAUAAGAUUCUUGACAUUGUGGCAAGGUGGCCUGGCUCAGUCAACGAUGCAAGAAUACUAGAUAAGUCAGCACUCAAACUGAUGUUUGAGGAACAACAUGUACCUGCAGGAUGCUACCUUCCCGGGGACAGUGGCUAUCCCUGUAAGCAGUGGCUCCUCACUCCUUACCUUCGCCCUCAAACUGUUGCACAAGCUAAUUAUAACAGUUCCAGUACCUUACGAUGCAGCCGAGGGGACUGACGCCACCACCACCACUGCCACCACCGCCACAACAAGGGUUAUUCAAGUGGGGAACAUGCUUCAGGUGUUGCCCCAAGAUGCCUCAGCCCCGCAGCCCCACUUCCCCAUGAUAGUGCAGGCAGGGAAUGUCAUACAGGUUGUUCCAGCUGACAACACGCAGGUAUUAGGGGCAGAAGUCGUUGGAGUUGGUCGGGUCAUGCAAGUGGUCGGAGUCCCAGGCUUUCCCCCGACCCCAGCCCCAGACCCCUGCCCCAGCCACCCCUCUCCCUGUGACCCCUGCCCAGUCAUCCCUCACCCCCUCCUGCCCCCUGCGGUGCUGCCAGCGGGGGUGAUGGGAGGUGGAGGUGGGCCACACACACCUGGGUUAGCUGUGGCUUGGCUUAUCUCCCUCCUCAGCAGCAAAUCCCGAGGAUCAACGAGGACAUGGUGGACCCAGAGAUUGCAGCAGCAGCAAGAGAGAGAGAGAGAAGCAAGAGAGGAGGGAGAGGAAGGAGAGGAGGAGGAGAGAGAGGGAGGCCAGGAGGGAGGCACGUCAGAGAGAGAGGGAGAGGAAGAGGUUGAUUCUGUUACAACAACAACUGCAACAACAACAACAGUUAGUCAGUGAGGAGGGGGAGGGGCCGUCCUCUGAUGCUGAGGAUGAGGUAUUGUUCAGGGAGGCCAUGUCGGAGGUGCCGGUGGUGGGGUCGCCAGUUCCGGAGUACGAGGUGGAGGAGGAAAAGGAAGAGGAGGACGAGGAGGAGGCACGGAUAAGGAAGAAGAAAAGAUUAUUAGCUGUAGCCCUCCCUCCAGCUGAUAAGGGGAUAAGCCAUAGUAAGCCACAGCUUACUAUGUUCAACAGAUGCCUGAAGGAAGUGUGUGUAAGGGAGGAUAAAGAGAUCAUGCUGGCCUAUGCAGACGAUGUCGCUGUCGUGACAGGAAGCCAACAAGAUCUUCAAGAGGCCAUGACAAGAUGGAAUGAUGUUUUAAAUAGGGAAGGAAUGAGAAUGAACAAACAAAAAACUUAUUUACUAGUGGACAAGCAACAAGUGAUGGUGUGGCUCUGAGCCACUGUAGUAGGGAUGUUAUGGUUUAAGUGUAGGAAGUUGCAAAUGCUCACCUAACAAUUGCACCUUAGUAGAAAAACACAAACAGGAAGUUUAUGCAAGUUUUUAUCCUUAUAUAAAAUGUUGUAUUGCAUCAAACCUCCAUACAUUACUGUCUCUAUCCAGUAUGAGACCGGUGUUCAGGAAGCACAAGCAUGUGCUGAAUAACAAGAAGCCGGCAUUGGUGAAGGUGACAACAUUUCAUCUAUUUAUACAUACUUUUUAUUAUUAAAGCUUAUCUUAUAAUUAUUUCUGAAGAGAUUGACUAAUUUUUGUAGUAUUUAUGACUUAGAACUAUGAUAAAGCUAUGAAUUGAUAUAAUUCCUGAUUUG
Molecule: long non-coding RNA, 2220 nt
Organism: Scylla paramamosain (green mud crab)
Lineage: Eukaryota; Metazoa; Arthropoda; Malacostraca; Decapoda; Portunidae
Exons: 6
Source: RefSeq, a predicted model, not a curated record